This 492-nucleotide ribosomal RNA is filed under the name uncultured bacterium. RNAcentral's name for it is "partial 16S ribosomal RNA". It matches the Rfam family "Bacterial small subunit ribosomal RNA", at positions 29 to 507 of the family's 1533-position model. The record is from RNAcentral.
AGUGAACGCUGGCGGUAGGCCUAACACAUGCAAGUCGAACGGCAGCACAGUAAGAGCUUGCUCUUACGGGUGGCGAGUGGCGGACGGGUGAGGAAUACAUCGGAAUCUACUUUUUCGUGGGGGAUAACGUAGGGAAACUUACGCUAAUACCGCAUACGACCUACGGGUGAAAGCAGGGGAUCUUCGGACCUUGCGCGAUUGAAUGAGCCGAUGUCGGAUUAGCUAGUUGGCGGGGUAAAGGCCCACCAAGGCGACGAUCCGUAGCUGGUCUGAGAGGAUGAUCAGCCACACUGGAACUGAGACACGGUCCAGACUCCUACGGGAGGCAGCAGUGGGGAAUAUUGGACAAUGGGCGCAAGCCUGAUCCAGCCAUACCGCGUGGGUGAAGAAGACCUUCGGGUUGUAAAGCCCUUUUGUCGGGAAAGAAAAGCAGCAGGUUAAUACCCCGCUGUUCUGACGGUACCCAAAGAAUAAGCACCGGCUAACUUCGUG